This 253-nucleotide ribosomal RNA is filed under the name uncultured bacterium. RNAcentral's name for it is "partial 16S ribosomal RNA". It matches the Rfam family "Bacterial small subunit ribosomal RNA", at positions 524 to 776 of the family's 1533-position model. The record is from RNAcentral.
GACGAACCGAGCGAACGUUGUUCGGAAUCACUGGGCUUAAAGGGCGCGUAGGCGGAUUCUCAAGUCCGGGGUGAAAUCCUCCAGCUCAACUGGAGAACUGCCUUGGAUACUGGGUGUCUCGAGGGUGGUAGGGGUAUGCGGAACUAUCGGUGGAGCGGUGAAAUGCGUUGAUAUCGAUAGGAACUCCGGUGGCGAAGGCGGCAUACUGGACCACAUCUGACGCUGAGGCGCGAAGGCCAGGGGAGCGAACGGG